This 212-nucleotide ribosomal RNA is filed under the name Trichophyton quinckeanum. RNAcentral describes it as "partial 28S ribosomal RNA". It matches the Rfam family "Eukaryotic large subunit ribosomal RNA", at positions 1 to 206 of the family's 3401-position model. The record is from RNAcentral. Lineage: Eukaryota; Fungi; Ascomycota; Eurotiomycetes; Onygenales; Arthrodermataceae.
AGGUUGACCUCGGAUCAGGUAGGGAUACCCGCUGAACUUAAGCAUAUCAAUAAGCGGAGGAAAAGAAACCAACAGGGAUUGCCCCAGUAACGGCGAGUGAAGCGGCAAGAGCUCAAAUUUGAAAUCUGGCCUCCCCCGGGGGCCCGAGUUGUAAUUUGCAGAGGAUGCUUCGGGUGCGGCCGCCGUCUAAGUUCCUUGGAACAGGACGUCAG